RNAcentral lists this microRNA precursor (64 nucleotides) under Xenopus tropicalis (tropical clawed frog). RNAcentral describes it as "Xtr-Mir-430-o5m_pre stem-loop". The record is from RNAcentral. Lineage: Eukaryota; Metazoa; Chordata; Amphibia; Anura; Pipidae.
ACCCAAAACUAAGUCCUCUCUUGUGUUCCCUUGAUGGUCAGAAAGUGCUUCCUGUUUUGGGCGU